GACGAACGCUGGCGGCGUGCUUAACACAUGCAAGUCGAACGAUGAAGAAGAGAAACGCGAACUUCGGUUCAAAUUUCACUUCGGAUUAGUGGCAGACGGGUGAGUAACGCGUGAGCAACCUACCUCUUACAAAGGGAUAGCCUCGGGAAACCGUGAUUAAUACCAUAUGACACAUUCAUAAGGCAUCUUAAGAAUGUUAAAGCUACGGCGGUAAGAGAUGGGCUCGCGUCCCAUUAGCUAGUUGGUGAGGUAACGGCCCACCAAGGCGACGAUGGGUAACGGGCCUGGAGGGGAGAACGGUAACAUUGGAACUGGAACACGGUCCAAACCCCUACGGGGGGGAGCAGGGGGGAAUAUUGCACAAUGGGGGGAACUCUAAUGCCGCGGCGCCGGGUAGGCGAUGAAGGAAUUCGUUUCGUAAAGCUCUUUUUAAGGGGAAGAAAAGGACUGAACCAAAGAAGAAAGCCCCGGCAAAAUACGU
This 481-nucleotide ribosomal RNA is filed under the name uncultured bacterium. RNAcentral describes it as "partial 16S ribosomal RNA". It matches the Rfam family "Bacterial small subunit ribosomal RNA", at positions 28 to 506 of the family's 1533-position model. The record is from RNAcentral.